ACGAACGCUGGCGGCGUGCUUAACACAUGCAAGUCGAACGGAAAGGCCCUGCUUUUGUGGGGUGCUCGAGUGGCGAACGGGUGAGUAACACGUGAGUAACCUGCCCUUGACUUUGGGAUAACUUCAGGAAACUUGGGCUAAUACCGGUUAGGAGCUCCUGCUGCAUGUUGGGGGUUGGAAAGUUUCGGCUGUUGGGGAUGGACUCGCGGCUUAUCAGCUUGUUGGUUGGGUAGUGGCUUACCAAUGCUUUGACGGGUAGCCGGACUGAGAGGGUGAACGGCCAAAUUGGGACGGAGAUACGGCCCAGACUCCUACGGGAGGCAGCAGUGGGGAAUAUUGCACAAUGGGCGGAAGCAUGAUGAAGAAACGCCGCGUGCGGGAUGAAGGCCUUCGGGUUGUAAACCGCUUUCGCCUGUGACGAAGCGUGAGUGACGGUAAUGGGUAAAGAAGCACCGGCUAACUACGUG
This 467-nucleotide ribosomal RNA is filed under the name uncultured bacterium. RNAcentral describes it as "partial 16S ribosomal RNA". It matches the Rfam family "Bacterial small subunit ribosomal RNA", at positions 29 to 507 of the family's 1533-position model. The record is from RNAcentral.